RNAcentral lists this ribosomal RNA (475 nucleotides) under uncultured bacterium. RNAcentral's name for it is "bacterial SSU rRNA". It matches the Rfam family "Bacterial small subunit ribosomal RNA", at positions 15 to 518 of the family's 1533-position model. The record is from RNAcentral.
GAUCCUGGCUCAGGAUGAACGCUGGCGGCGUGCCUAACACAUGCAAGUCGAGCGAUUACUUCGGUAAAGAGCGGCGGACGGGUGAGUAACGCGUGGGUAACCUGCCUCAUACACAUGGAUAACAUACCGAAAGGUAUGCUAAUACAGGAUAAUAUAAGAGAUUCACAUGGAUUUCUUAUCAAAGCUCCGGCGGUAUGAGAUGGACCCGCGUCUGAUUAGCUAGUUGGUAAGGUAAUGGCUUACCAAGGCGACGAUCAGUAGCCGACCUGAGAGGGUGAUCGGCCACAUUGGAACUGAGACACGGUCCAAACUCCUACGGGAGGCAGCAGUGGGGAAUAUUGCACAAUGGGCGAAAGCCUGAUGCAGCAACGCCGCGUGAGUGAUGAAGGCCUUCGGGUCGUAAAACUCUGUCCUCAAGGAAGAUAAUGACGGUACUUGAGGAGGAAGCCCCGGCUAACUACGUGCCAGCCGCCGC